GGCCCGAAAUGCGGGGCCCUCCCGACCGCGCUCUGAGCGUGGGCCGUUUCUCCCGGGGUCACCGCGAGGGGGGGCGCCGCCGAAAGUCAACACCGCAGACCAUCUCUGAUGGAAAGGGCUCCUGAAGCCUGAUGCUAUCAGGCCCAAGAAUUGGCCAGGGAAGUGCUCACUACAGACAGGACCUCUCAGAAAAACGGUCAGGGCAACAAUUUGCUCAGCAUAUCUCUUCCUAAAUUCCAAGACAGGCUGCUUGCUCUGUUCAGUCAAGACUGCCAACCCAAGAAACAUUUUCAAAAGAUCACAGUCAACGUCAUUGCCAAAAGAAGAAGUUCUUGGCACACAAAGGACCUGGUUCAAUAUGAGAUGCCAGAUGGUGAUUUCAACUUCAGCUAAAUUCCUGCUGAAAAAAGUGUUUGAACUGCAGAUGAGAAAAGCUUCUAUGACAAAUUUCCAAGUGUGAGAAGCUUCAGAGGGAAAUGGCAAGUGUUGAUGCACCCCUCCCCCCCAACCACAUGCACACACCAUAGAACUACUACCUGCAUCUGGUAAUUAAGAUUCCGACAAAGAUGUCUCUGCUUUUUAAGAAGAC
This is a non-coding RNA of Leptonychotes weddellii (Weddell seal), 589 nucleotides long. The record is from RefSeq and is a predicted model, not a curated record. Lineage: Eukaryota; Metazoa; Chordata; Mammalia; Carnivora; Phocidae.